Molecule: ribosomal RNA, 260 nt
Filed under: uncultured archaeon
Lineage: Archaea
Description: partial 16S ribosomal RNA
Rfam family: Archaeal small subunit ribosomal RNA
Source: RNAcentral
CAGCCGUAAACUAUGCGCGUUAGGUGUAUCGGUGACCACGAGUUACCGAGGUGCCGAAGGGAAACCGUGAAACGUGCCGCCUGGGAAGUACGGUCGCAAGGCUGAAACUUAAAGGAAUUGGCGGGGGAGCACCGCAACGGGAGGAGCGUGCGGUUUAAUUGGAUUCAACACCGUAAACUCACCAGGGAAGACUGUUACAUGAAGGCCGAGAUGAAGACUCUGCCAGAUUUUCAGAGAGGUGGUGCAUGGCGUCAGUGACU